CAAUAGCGUAUAUUAAAGUUGUUGCAGUUAAAAAGCUCGUAGUUGGACUUCAAGAAGCGCAUCUGGGCAACCAGUUUGCCUUCUACCAGCCCUAGGCUGUUACUGUGAGAAAAUUAGAGUGUUUCAAGCAGGCUUUUGCAGGAAUACAUUAGCAUGGAAUAACGAAUGUGUCUACAAUUUGGUUGAUUGUAGGUUACAAUUAAUAGGGACAGUUGGGGGCAUUAGUAUUUAAUAGUCAGAGGUGAAAUUCUUGGAUUUGUUAAAGACUAACGUAUGCGAAAGCAUUUGCCAAGGAUGUUUNCAUUAA
This 307-nucleotide ribosomal RNA is filed under the name uncultured eukaryote. RNAcentral's name for it is "partial 18S ribosomal RNA". It matches the Rfam family "Eukaryotic small subunit ribosomal RNA", at positions 592 to 976 of the family's 1831-position model. The record is from RNAcentral.